This is an unclassified non-coding RNA of Otolemur garnettii (small-eared galago), 110 nucleotides long. It matches the Rfam family "Y RNA". From Rfam's summary of the family: Y RNAs are components of the Ro ribonucleoprotein particle (Ro RNP), in association with Ro60 and La proteins. The Y RNAs and Ro60 and La proteins are well conserved, but the function of the Ro RNP is not known. NCBI's taxonomy places the organism in Eukaryota, Metazoa, Chordata, Mammalia, Primates, Galagidae. The record is from Ensembl.
GGCUGGUCUGAAGGUAGUGAGUUAAUCUCAGUUGAUGGUUCACAGGUACAGAUAGAACUCCUUGUUCUACUCUGUCCCCCCUUCUCCCUACUGCACCUAACUGUCUUUUU